GAGGGAGCAUGUUCUUCAACACUUUGAUAAAUCUGAGCCUCCAAAUUCCGAUUUUUCCUACUCCCCACUCAAAAGGUUUUGGUUAUUUUGACCUAAAAUUGGUGAAGUUCAGUUUAUAAUCCAACUUUGAAUUCUUGCUUUUCGCCGGCGAUUUUUCCGGCCACCCCUGCUCUUCUAUUUUCUUCCUAUUCUUUCUUCUGUUUUUUGUGGGUGUGUGUGGGUGUGUUCUGCUUUCUUGGACAGGUGCCUUAUUUUUCCGGUGAGGAUUUUCGGCAGCUACAUAACUUCCGGCGACUCCCGUUCAGAGUUUUGGCAGGACGCAACAGAACUACACGUUCCGAUAAGCUUCAGGAUAACUUACCCCAGGUACUAGUCGCGGCAGCGAGGCCAGUUCGUGGCCUUUGGGAGUGAAGAGCUAAGCAACACCGGUCGGGACGUGCAAGAGUCGGUAGCAGUUUACUUUGGGCGCAUCAAAGCCUACUUUCAGGU
RNAcentral lists this long non-coding RNA (489 nucleotides) under Nicotiana benthamiana. Its description in RNAcentral is "long non-coding RNA (NBEN_LNC021664)". Lineage: Eukaryota; Viridiplantae; Streptophyta; Magnoliopsida; Solanales; Solanaceae. The record is from RNAcentral.